This is a long non-coding RNA of Balaenoptera acutorostrata (minke whale), 3218 nucleotides long. RefSeq lists it as uncharacterized. NCBI's taxonomy places the organism in Eukaryota, Metazoa, Chordata, Mammalia, Artiodactyla, Balaenopteridae. The transcript has 5 exons. The record is from RefSeq and is a predicted model, not a curated record.
CCGUGCAGGACCUUUGAACCAUAUUACAGAGCUUGGACUUUAUCCUGAGAAGAACAAGGAGCCGCUGGAGGGUUCCACUGAGGGGAGCAGCAGAAUCACAUUUAGAGCCAUCACCCUGGCUGCAGCCUCAAGAGCUGGCUGCAGCAGCGGCAAGGCCGACUCAGCGAGGAGGCUGCUGAGAGCCAGCUCUGCUCCUUAUUUGCUGCAUGACCUUGAACAAGUAACUUACCUUCUUUGAAUCAUGGUUACUCAUCUGGAAAAAAAAAAUGGAGAUAAUAUCUACCUUCACUUGGAAUUAAAGAUAGGAGAAUUUCCAAUUUUCAGACAGGAUGAUACCGAAUGACUGUUGGACCUGGUACUGGUGCCUGAAGAAGUUUCUGCUCUGAGAACGCCCCUAACAAGACCAGCCAUCUCAAAAACAAGGACUGAGAAAGUGGAACACACUGGCUUGGGACAAAUCUGCCACCAGAACGGGAGAAGUCAAAGUUCAUGUGUCUAGAGCAUCAUCUUCACAUAUGUGCCCCAGGGAGCAGACAGAUAAAACCAUCACUUGGAUCCAUGCCUACCCCACAGGAGGAGGGAGGAAAGGCCUCUUUGACUUCCUUUCAGAUUGCCUCACAUGAGGCCUUUGGAAUGAAGAGUCCAUCCUGGGCAUUAGAUCAAAGGAGUCGAGUGAAUUUCCUUAAAUCCUUUCUGGACUCAGUUGAAGUACAAAUAAACUGAGAAAUAAAAGGAUCACAACUUUAUUAUUUUUUGUAUAUACAAAUAUAGUAUUUUACGUACACUGUAGUUUAUAGCAGACUUAUUUCACAGACAGAUUAAAAAGAAAUUUCUUUAAUGGAAGGUGCUAUGGACCGAAUGUUUGUGUCCCCCCCCAAAUUCAUACAUUGAAGCCUUAAUGUGAUGGUAUUUGGAGAUGGAAACUUUGGAAGGUAAGUAGGUCACGAGAGGGAAGCCCCCAUGAUGGCACUGGUGUCCUUAUAAGAAGAGGAGGAGAGCUAGCACUUUCACUCUCUCUGCCACGUGAGGCUACAGGAAGGCCAUCUCCAAGCCAGGAAGCAGGUCUUCACCAGAACCUGGCCAUGCUUGGCAUCCUGAUCUCAGUCUUCCCAGCCUCCAGAACUGUGAGAAAUAAGUGUUUGUUGUUUGAGCUACCCAGUCUCUGGUAAUUUGUUAUAGCAGCUGGAGCAGACUAAGACAGAGGGAUAGAUAAAGGGUCUGCUAACUUUCUAUUUUAGGCUAACUUUCUAUUUUAUACUAACUUUCUAUUAAGGACUAUUAGAAAAAUACAAUUGCAAUCUACCAUCACCAUCAAUUCAUAAACACUCUAAUGCCAAAAAUUAGAAAGAUAUAAUCUCAGAAUUAAAAAGUGUUAUCAAUGAAAUUAUUUUUCUCAUUUUGCUAGGGGACAGUAAACAUUUCAUCUCAGACUAGCACUUCUGAACCAGUAGUUUAAAGAUGGGACCGUUAGUGGUUCAAAUAACUAAAAAUUUAUAUGAAGGGUUUUCAGACAUGGCUGGAUCCAGGUGCCCCAGUUAUGUGGGCUGGAAUCUUUCUCCACUUCUUGAUUUCAUUGUCUUCAGUGGUGACUGCCUUCUCACACAGGUGCUCCCUUGCAGGACUAGAUGACCCAUAGCAGCUUCAAGCUUGUAUUCUACCAGCCUAGCAACAAACUAUUGAUUCUUGGGCCUGACUCUCAAGAGCACAAAUUGGGUGACAUGUCUGUCCCAAAAACCAUCAUGGUGACUGAUUGGUCAGUCUGGGGUUGUAUGCCCACUCCCAGAAGGCGGAGGGUGGGUAUGGGAAGCCAGUGUAGGAGAGUUGGUUCCCGUCUUUUAAAAAAAACAAAACACUGUUACCAAAUAAAGAAGAAUGGAUGGUUAUGGACAAUAGCAACAAAAGAACAUUACAAUUUUAUUAAAAUCAAGCACUGUUAUAAUUUUACUAUGACUUUAACUCAAGUGAACUCAGUCAUUCAACAAACAUUUAUCAGACACACCUAUGUGCCAGGCACUUUGCUAGGCAAUAGGAGACAAGGAUAAAUCCACUAGUCUCUGCCUUCGAUGAACCCAGCUAAUGUGAGGAGAGGGAGAGGUGGACACUUUUUACAACAGUGUGUGAAGCGACUGAGAUCAGCCCUGUCAAAGGACUGAAUCAUAGUCCUCAUUAGUGCCUUACUUUGCUUGGCUAAUAUAGACCUGACUUAGUACAGCUUGAAGUUGGAUGACUCCUUUAUGUGAAACACUUUACACUAAUUUCAAACAGAUAUAUAUCAUGUAGGAGGUGGGGGUAGGAGGGACAUGAACUUGACCACAGUUCAAUAAGAGACAGCUAUGUGGUCCAGCUCCUUAAGCAGGUAAUACAUUCCCAGACUGUGUUAAAGAAGCACAGUGUCAUAUCAAAAGAGCACAGUUCCACCAGGCCACACAAGAGUCAGCCCUCCUCUGGAGUGUGAUUUAUAGUUCCCAGAACAUUUUUGGGAAGGACACUGAAGGUCAUGAUGUCACUAAGUCUCAUGGAUGCACCAGGAUAAAACAUUGCCAAGAGAAGAAAAACACGGCCGGUUCAGAGAAAAGUUCUGAAACUAUAUGAGUGGGGAGCCCACAUUGCACAGUGGAAAGACUUUGGCAGAUGGUGGUUUGAAUCCUAGCUUUGUCAUUUACGAGCUCUGUUAUCUUGGGCAAAUCAGGUAUUUCCCAAAAUAUGGGUAAAGAAUCACAAGUAGUAUUCAAAAUAUUCUUUAGGACAACUCAAGUGGUGCAUGAGCCAAUUUUGCUUGAUGUUCUGAUCAAGCAAUAAAUUACUUAGAAAGUUAUUCUUUUAACAAUUUCUUUAGAUCUUUCUGAAUAUAUCAAGGAGAAAGUUUCUCUUUGGUUCUAACUUUCUAACACUGACUAGUUUCAUUUUUUUUUAACAAAUGGAGAGUAGCCCUCAAGCUCAGAAUUAGAAUUUAAUAACCACUUUGGGGCUUCCCUGGUGGCGCAGUGGUUAAGAAUCCCCCUGCCAAUGCAGGGGACACGGGUUCGAGCCCUGGUCUGCGAAGAUCCCACGUGCUGUGGAGUAGCUAAGCCUGUGCGCCACAACUACUGAAGCCUGCGCGCCUAAAGUCCGUGCUCUGCAACAAGAGAAGCCACCGCAGUGAGAAGCCCACGCACUGCAACGAAGAGUAGCCCCUGCUAGCCGCAACUAGAGAAAGCCUGCAUGCAGCAACGAAGACC